UAUAUUUAUAGAAAAUUUGAUAACCAAUUUUAAAUGAGUACUAAUUUAUGUAGACUACACAAUGCAUUAUUAUUUAAGAAUGUGGUAUGAAACUAUAUUUCAACAGGACAAUCAAUUGGAUUCACCAUGUGGAAAUGCUUUGAUUUUACAACCAGAAGACCUGGGAUUGAAUCUCACCUUGGAAAAAUUAUUUGAGAAUCAGUCUGGAUUAUUUGUCUCCUUCCUCUAUAUUCCAGCUGACUUUGUCUGGUAUACUCGAGAUAUAAUAGGUGAUAGGAAUGGCACUAUUAUUAGCAAAUGAUAGAACUGAUAUUAAGAAAAUUUAAUCAU
RNAcentral lists this long non-coding RNA (330 nucleotides) under Androctonus crassicauda. Lineage: Eukaryota; Metazoa; Arthropoda; Arachnida; Scorpiones; Buthidae. The record is from RNAcentral.